This is a long non-coding RNA of Mus musculus (house mouse), 1853 nucleotides long. RefSeq annotates it as predicted gene, 40636. The transcript is spliced from 5 exons. Lineage: Eukaryota; Metazoa; Chordata; Mammalia; Rodentia; Muridae. The record is from RefSeq and is a predicted model, not a curated record.
UCUUCUUCUUCUUCUUCUUCCUUCUUCCUAGUAAAAACUUCAUUUCAACAUAGAUUUCUGCAGACAGAUCUUAACAGGAAACUAUCUAUGCCUCAUAUACAACAAAUCACAAUGAAUAAUAAAACCCAGAAACAAAGAAAAGCACUUAUUUCCCAAAUGGUAUUUCCAACCUAACAGGUCUAUAGAAAAACAAAGCUGAACCAGCUCUCAGGGUACCAAGGACAUCACUUGCAAUGUUCCCAUGUCAGGAAGGUGCAAUCAGUCGAACCCACUCACUGAUGUUACUUGCUGUGCAAAGGAAGUCUUUGAAGGGGAAAAGGGUUUCUAAUUCUAUUCCAUCCAACAGAUUCUCAGUGUAGUCUCCACUCACUCACUGCCCUAAUGAGCAGCUCACCGUUUGAAUGGCACAUGUCACCCUCAGAACUUUCCAGAUCUAUUCCAUUUCCUAAGGAGGACCCAGCAUGUCCACUUCUCGGACAGAAAGUCAGUCUGCUUACUCACACAGCACACACUGACGUCCCAUCUGCCAUGUGCCAGAAACCGACAGACGUGAAGAAUACAAAUCCCCUGCCUUGAGCUGGGUAGACAGAGGAGCAUCACAAGUAACUAUCUUUUGUGACACAUUGUGACUGGAGGUGGCCUGUCUGAAGUGAUGCCGUCCCUUAAGGCCAGAACAUGAGUAAGCCUGUAGCCGACAGGGCUUUGUGGCCUACCUGACAUGUUCUUUCAGUGUCUGUAUCACAACGGAAAAGGAUCCCCACAAGAACAACCACUCUGAAGAAACUGUGUGGUCAGGAGAAGCUAAAGAUCUCACACCCGAAAGCUCACCAUCUCUGGCCAUCUGAAUGCAGAAACUGAGACCGGGGCUGCCUCAGAAGAAGUCCUUCCCACUCCCCCAGUAUCAAACCUGCACCAGCAGCUCUUCAAAGGUCUGCAUCCUGUGAGGCUGGUAUGCCUGAUCAGUCACUUCCGCCUCAGAGUCACAUCUCGGUAAAGACUUGGCAUUGGUGAAAACACGGAGUGGAGUGCCAUACUCUCAGCACGGAAGGCUGGGGUAAGCAGAUGCCAAGGUCAGAGGAUCUCAGUAACCCACAUAACAGCUAAAACUGUGACUCCAGUUCCAGAGGCUCUGACGCCAUCUUUUAGACUCCUCAGACACUGCACAGAUGUGGUGCACAGACAUACAUGCAGCGCUGGGGACUGACUCCAGGCAAUUUGCCCAUGAGGUUCCCACAGACCACCAGAAAACAGACGGAGUUUCUUCUACCUUUCAUUCCUUCAAAGAUGGCUGCUACCCACCCCAAGCCAAAGCCCCACCAUCUCGCUUCCUACAGUCACCCAGACGUUUCCAGUUCAUGAUUUCAGAUGCCUGAAAAUGGGAAUUUGUGGUAUGCAGGUUACCCGGCUCCUCCAGCCUGCGCGAGCAAACUACUUUCCAUGGUAACAACAAUGGCAAACUAAGACUCACAGCAGCCAACAGGACAUCCAAGACACGACUGACUGAGUAAUGCUUUCUCAUUUGCUCGGGGUAUCUUAGGUUGCUUUCUAAGACACACUAUGAAACUAUGAAACCUUUGGCUGCACGUCCCACUCACAAAAUCCUGCCAGUGUGCUCAGAAUAUGUAAAUAGUUAUAUAUUACAUACAGUACCAUUGAUCUAAUUAUACAUCUCAGAAAACUUACACAAAAAUAGAAUGUUUAAAAGAGAAGAGAUUUGGGUGCAAAAUGGCCCCAUGGGAUAAAAGUGUGAGAUGCCAAGCUAGACGACCUGAGCUCUGUACUCGGUGCCCAUAUGUUGGAAAGAGAGACUAGACUGAUCUCUAAAAGCUGUCCUCUGACUUCCACACACAUGC